This 182-nucleotide ribosomal RNA is filed under the name uncultured bacterium. RNAcentral describes it as "partial 16S ribosomal RNA". It matches the Rfam family "Bacterial small subunit ribosomal RNA", at positions 1319 to 1500 of the family's 1533-position model. The record is from RNAcentral.
CAUGAAGCUGGAAUCGCUAGUAAUCGCGGAUCAGAAUGCCGCGGUGAAUACGUUCCCGGGUCUUGUACACACCGCCCGUCACACCAUGAGAGUUGGCAACACCCGAAGUCAGUAGCCUAACCGAAAGGAGGGCGCUGCCGAAGGUGGGGUCGAUGAUUGGGGUGAAGUCGUAACAAGGUAAC